GGAAUCUUCCACAAUGGACGCAAGUCUGAUGGAGCAACGCCGCGUGAGUGAAGAAGGUCUUCGGAUCGUAAAACUCUGUUGUUAGAGAAGAAUGACAUUGAGAGUAACUGUUCAAUGUGUGACGGUAUCUUACCAGAAAGGAACGGCUAAAUACGUGCCAG
RNAcentral lists this ribosomal RNA (161 nucleotides) under uncultured bacterium. RNAcentral's name for it is "partial 16S rRNA". It matches the Rfam family "Bacterial small subunit ribosomal RNA", at positions 358 to 511 of the family's 1533-position model. The record is from RNAcentral.